GAUCCUCUCUGACAUGUCCCAUUUGGUGCUAUCCUUUGAUAAAGAGGAAAAACCCAAGCCCUGUCUUGCUGAAAAUUUGCAGUUAUAAAGCUGGACACACUUUGUUGACCAAAAUGGAGCAAGAAAAUAGGCAGGUCAGAUUUAAGAAUGAGUAUGGUCUUAAUCUAUAGGAUUAUCUGGGAUGAAGAAAUUUCUACAAUAACCCAAACCAUUACUGGGUGUUAAUUCCACCACAGGGCUAUUUACAGGAUGAUUUAAAUUGACAUAUGCAGGCUCUGUUAUCCUGAUUAGCUCACUUGUGAGUGCUGUUGGGCCUCCAUACCCAGAUCCUCAGGUGCCUAAUUCUGGUAAAGCUGUCCCACCUGGCUUCCCAAGGAAAUUGGUUCUUUCUUACUCAGCUCCUCCCUAAUUGUGGACUGGAGGAACUAAUUACCCUGAGACAAGGAUUUGGAGUGCUGUGGGGGGUUUUCCACUGCUUUGAAUGAGAGCAGGAUUGAACGCUUUGCGACAGUUUAAAAAGGCUAUGUACUCAUUUGAACUAAAAUUACCCAGCUGCCAGCCUGCUUGAUAGCAAUUACAUCUAAAGAGAGAAAACCACUGAACUUCAUGUAUUGGUGUCAGAACAGGCUGAUGGAGGCAACAUGGGGCAUGGCCACAAAUGGGCCGUGGGCUGUGAUGUCCCACUGCGGGGCAGGGAUCCUCCACCAGCAGGGGGCUGCAGAGCCAAAAAGCCUAAAUCCACCUCUCUACCCCUCUGAGCACCCUGCACUGAGAGAACAAAGAAAGGUGAUGCCAAAAAGCAGGAAUGGUGAAGACUUGGCUCUGAUCUAGGAUCAAGAAGUGAGGCUGGCUUUCCCAUGAGUCUUUCAGAUGCUAUAGAAGUCACUCCCAAAGUGUUCCUUUUUCAUUAGGGAAUGUGUAAAUUCACAUCCGUGGACAGUAAGUGUUCACAAAUCCCUCUGCACCCAGAGUGGUGCAUGCCUGCGCAUUGCCUAUCACAGUUCUGAUGUGUCUCUUUUCACACAGCCCGGUUUGAAGCAGUGGUCAUGCCCAAGCCAUGGAGGCAGUCAGUGGUAAGUUUUGGACAAGAAGCUGAUUUUUUUAGAGCACUGGUUGCUGUUUGUAAGCGCUAGAAGCAUGUCCCUGCCUACUCUCCUGGGAUUCUUAUCCCUUAAAGCAGGGAACACUUUGAACACUUUGAUUUUUGCAAGUACAUUCAAAUUACAGCUGGCAUUCACAGAUUUGUAGGUUUUUGAGGCCAGGAGUGCAUCCUUUUUUUGUCCAACUUUCCCUGUAUUCAGCCCAGUAACUUGCAUUUGACUAAAGCAUAGCUUUUGUUUGAUUAAAGCACAGCUGCCAGAAAAGCAUUCAGACCCGAUUUGAAGACAUCAGGAGAGAGAAAUUCCAUCUCUUCCCUUGAUGCUUCAUUCUAGUGGCUAAUCACCUUCAAUGCUAAAUAUUUGUGCCAUUCUGGCUAGAUUAAAGAGCAUUUCAGUACGUGGCGUUCCUAUGAGAUAAUUCUUGCAAUGAAGUAACCUUUUAAUCUUCUUUUUGAUAAAUUAAACAGUGUGAGAUCUUUA
Molecule: long non-coding RNA, 1580 nt
Organism: Phasianus colchicus (ring-necked pheasant)
Lineage: Eukaryota; Metazoa; Chordata; Aves; Galliformes; Phasianidae
Source: Ensembl